ACUAACUGGGGACUUUGGGUUAGUUGGAUUGUUCUUUAUUUUGGUAUUUCUCUCUAAAAUAACAGAUGACAACAUUACCAAUAAUCAGUAAUCAUGUCGUUGUUUGUUAACAGUUAAAAUAACUUUUAACUGAAGUUUAAUUUCCUGUUUAUCACUGCUGGUUGUUAUGAAGAGUUACUGCUCCUCUGAUCUCUGUUGUCACAGUGUUUCUGGUUCUACUGGAGUCUUUCUAUCUCCUCCUCCACCUCCUCUUCCUCCUCCUCCUCCUGAUGAAGCUGUAACAGGUUGGUUGUGUUGCUGUCAGAUAAGAUGUCUGGGUGUCCCAGAGAUCUUCCAGGUCCAGCUGCAGCGUGAGAAACCCUCCAAUCAGAGCAGUCCAGUGGAGCUGUGACUCAUCAGGAAACAACUCACCUGAGUUUUUCUACGUCGACAUUUUGGACUGUUUGAAGAAACUGACCCAUCAGAGACCAGACCCUGCUGAAGCUGAACCUGAACCUGAACCUGAACCCAGCUGUGUUUCCAUGAAGAGUGUCCAGUCCAUGGAGACACCACUACUUUAAAAAGAAGGCGAUCUGUAAGGGAGAUUAAAAUGGAGAACAGUGUGAGGGAGCGAAUUGAAAUGGAGAGAGGAAGAUGGAGGUGAGUUGUUGUGAAACCUCCAGCAAACUAGAAGUAGUGUUGUCUCAUUGGGUGUGUGGUCUUCUUGUAGAGGGUCUCAGUGUUUCCAGCCCACUGUAGCCUGUCGUCCAGGUGCACUCUGGGAUAUCUAUGGCCCUGUUUUCACCUGGUAUUAAGAUCUGAUCUGAGUGAUCUCUCAGACCACCCCGGCUCUCUGUUCCCUACUGGUACCUGGAAAAGGUGGCCACCGGUAUACAAUAAUCUUAUUAUUAGUUUCAUAAAACGUCCCCAAAUUCACCAUACGCAAAGGCCUUGUGGCGCUCCCAAUGAUGUCAUUUCACUGAUGCCACCUAUAGUUUAAGCUGUCUGAGCCUUCUUGUCACAUGUCACUCUCAGUGUCUCUUAAUGGGAGCAGUCUAACAGCUGGUGAUAUGGUUGUCAGCUGAUUACAGAGAUCAAAGGGAUCUCUGCUGUGUUUACAAACAUGGUCACUGAUUAGUAAGC
Molecule: long non-coding RNA, 1122 nt
Organism: Sander lucioperca (pikeperch)
Lineage: Eukaryota; Metazoa; Chordata; Actinopteri; Perciformes; Percidae
Exons: 3
Source: RefSeq, a predicted model, not a curated record